AAUUCAAAAUAAAAAUAUCGGCUAAUCGUCUAUGUACAACGUAUUUUGACUUGUUAUCGAUCUUUUACACACUCACGAACGAUUUGAAAUCAUAAGAAGAACGCAAGAACUGACAUAAUUCAUCUUCCUAUUUUUCUGAAAUCUCGGAAGCUAGAUUGAAAAAUCGACUCACAAUCCAACAUCACGAAGAUUUUCAUGUCAUUUUGAUUCGAGGUAUUAAAAACCGAGUAAUUCAGUAUGAAAA
Bombus pascuorum is the source of this 244-nucleotide long non-coding RNA. RefSeq lists it as uncharacterized. Lineage: Eukaryota; Metazoa; Arthropoda; Insecta; Hymenoptera; Apidae. The transcript is spliced from 2 exons. The record is from RefSeq and is a predicted model, not a curated record.